Molecule: ribosomal RNA, 653 nt
Filed under: uncultured archaeon
Lineage: Archaea
Description: bacterial SSU rRNA
Rfam family: Archaeal small subunit ribosomal RNA
Source: RNAcentral
GCUUAAAGCGGCCGUAGCUGGGUUGUUAAGUCUCUUGGGAAAUCUGGCAGCUUAACUGUCAGGCGUCUAAGAGAUACUGGCAAUCUAGGAACCGGGAGUGGUGAGGGGUACUUCGGGGGUAGGAGUGAAAUCCUGUAAUCCUCGAGGGACCACCUGUGGCGAAGGCGCCUCACCAGAACGGCUUCGACAGUGAGGGACGAAAGCUGGGGGAGCAAACCGGAUUAGAUACCCGGGUAGUCCCAGCCGUAAACGAUGCGCGUUAGGUGUGUCGAUGACCACGAGUCAUCGAGGUGCCGAAGGGAAACCGUGAAACGCGCCGCCUGGGAAGUACGGUCGCAAGGCUGAAACUUAAAGGAAUUGGCGGGGGAGCACCACAACAGGUGGAGCCUGCGGUUUAAUUGGACUCAACGCCGGGAAGCUCACCGGAUAGGACAGCAGAAUGAUUGCCGGGCUGAAGACUCUGCAUGACUAGCUGAGAGGAGGUGCAUGGCCGUCGUCAGUUCGUACUGUGAAGCAUCCUGUUAAGUCAGGCAACGAGCGAGACCCACGCCAACAGUUGCCAGCACGAUCCCCGGAUCGGUGGGGACACUGUUGGGACCGCCUCUGCUAAAGAGGAGGAAGGAAUGGGCAACGGUAGGUCCGCAUGCCCCUAA